AUGGGCAGCUAAGGCACUGGGAAACCCUCUCCUUCUGAUCCAGGAUCUGGUACAGCUGCCAUGAUGAACAACAGCUCAAGAGGCUCUUCCCCUACCAGGAUGAUGGAUGAAGACAAGUAAACUGUUCUCCAAGAGCCUGAAGUCCCCUCAGUUCCCAGCAUUACAUCUUCAGCUGAGCAUCCAGUAGGAGUAAGUACAGAGAAGUGUGGUCCUAAC
Sapajus apella (tufted capuchin) is the source of this 216-nucleotide long non-coding RNA. RefSeq lists it as uncharacterized. The transcript has 3 exons. Lineage: Eukaryota; Metazoa; Chordata; Mammalia; Primates; Cebidae. The record is from RefSeq and is a predicted model, not a curated record.